RNAcentral lists this long non-coding RNA (270 nucleotides) under Olea europaea (common olive). RNAcentral describes it as "long non-coding RNA (OEUR_LNC015675)". The record is from RNAcentral. Lineage: Eukaryota; Viridiplantae; Streptophyta; Magnoliopsida; Lamiales; Oleaceae.
GGUUAUCCAUGAACAUUUGGGGGUUCCAAUUAAUUCCUAGCCGGCUAGCCCAAUGCCGAGAAUCCAUCAUCCAUAUCCAUAUGAUCCAAUGACUCCAAUCCAUUAUCCAUAUCCAUUAAUCCAUAGUCCAUAGAUGAUAGACCUAAGACCAUAAUCCACUCUCCACUCCAUUGUCUCCCCACCGAUUUCUGAUGAGAAAAAUGUAGAAAAAUCUGAAAACUUAAUAAACUCUAAGGCACGAAAAACGUUAUCUUUUAAGAGAUGUUUCUU